This 239-nucleotide unclassified non-coding RNA is filed under the name Hysteriales sp. RNAcentral's name for it is "partial contains 5.8S ribosomal RNA, internal transcribed spacer 2, and large subunit ribosomal RNA". The record is from RNAcentral. Lineage: Eukaryota; Fungi; Ascomycota; Dothideomycetes; Hysteriales.
CGCACAUUGCGCCCCUUGGUAUUCCGAAGGGCAUGCCUGUUCGAGCGUCAUUUCAACCCUCAAGCCCAGCUUGGUAUUGGACGCGGUCCCAGGACCCGUCCGCAACCACUCGGCGGUGCUGUGCGGCCUUAAGCGUAGCAAAAACCUCGCUUUGGGGGCUCGCGGCGGCGCCUGCCAGAGGAACCACCCAACUCCUAUAGUUUGACCUCGGAUCAGGUAGGGUUACCCGCUGAACUUAA